GAUGAACGCUAGCUACAGGCCUAACACAUGCAAGUCGAGGGGCAGCGGGAAUUAAGCUUGCUUAGUUUGCCGGCGACCGGCGCACGGGUGCGUAACGCGUAUCGAACCUGCCUCAUACUCGGGGAUAGCCUUGCGAAAGUAAGAUUAAUACCCGGCGGUCUCGGAUGGCCGCAUGACUAUCCGAGUGAAGAUUUAUCGGUAUGAGAUGGCGAUGCGUCCCAUUAGCUAGUUGGUGAGGUAAUGGCUCACCAAGGCAUCGAUGGGUAGGGGUUCUGAGAGGAAGGUCCCCCACAUUGGAACUGAGACACGGUCCAAACUCCUACGGGAGGCAGCAGUGAGGAAUAUUGGUCAAUGGACGAAAGUCUGAACCAGCCAAGUAGCGUGCAGGAUGACGGCCCUCUGGGUUGUAAACUGCUUUUAGUUGGGAAUAAAAAGAGGGACGUGUCCCUUAUUGUAUGUACCAUCAGAAAAAGGACCGGCUAAUUCCGUGCCAGCAGCCGCGGUAAUACGGAAGGUCCAGGCGUUAUCCGGAUUUAUUGGGUUUAAAGGGAGCGCAGGCGGCGGCGUAAGUCGGUUGUGAAAUCGUGCGGCUUAACCGUGCAAUUGCAGUUGAUACUGCGUCGCUUGAGUGCACACAGGGAUGUUGGAAUUCAUGGUGUAGCGGUGAAAUGCUUAGAUAUCAUGAAGAACUCCGAUCGCGAAGGCAUAUGUCCGGAGUGCAACUGACGCUGAGGCUCGAAAGUGUGGGUAUCAAACAGG
Molecule: ribosomal RNA, 759 nt
Filed under: uncultured bacterium
Lineage: Bacteria
Description: bacterial SSU rRNA
Rfam family: Bacterial small subunit ribosomal RNA
Source: RNAcentral